AUUGAACGCUGGCGGCAUGCCUUACACAUGCAAGUCGAACGGCAGCACGGGGCAACCCUGGUGGCGAGUGGCGAACGGGUGAGUAAUGCACUCGGAACGUGCCCAGUAGUGGGGAUAACUAGUCGAAAGAUUAGCUAAUACCGCAUACGACCGUACGGGUAGAAAGCGGGGAUUCGCAAGAACCUCGCGCUAUCGGAGCGGCCGAUGUCUGAUUAGCUAGUUGG
RNAcentral lists this ribosomal RNA (224 nucleotides) under uncultured bacterium. Its description in RNAcentral is "partial 16S ribosomal RNA". It matches the Rfam family "Bacterial small subunit ribosomal RNA", at positions 30 to 252 of the family's 1533-position model. The record is from RNAcentral.